CUAGUUAUGAUUAUGUAGAGUGUUUCGUUACAAAACGAACCAACGUGACAUCCAAGAGGGCAAGGAAAGCGGUGAAGAAGGUGAAAGCAAGCGUUAUCAUCAAGCUUGCUCAAUUCUUCCUGAUGACGUAUUGAGGCUUGUAUUUCCAAGACUUGAUUCUGUCGACAAAACCCAUGUGCAUACUGUUUGCAAGGAUUGGCUACGACUCACGAACCAAAUUCAUUAUCAGCUUCAGGUCAGCUGCUAUUUCUUUUAAUCAUCAAAGAAUAAUAGUCCAAGUAUUAGCUUGGACUAAUUGUUGACUAUUUCCCUCGACUCUGCUCAUUUGAUUUGUAGAUAUUCAUUGGAGGGAUGUUGCUCUUUAGUUAAUUACCGUCAAUGCUAUUGCAAGAUUUAUUCCUUGCUAGGUUUUUCAAUAUAAACAAGUUGUCUAUAAGUAGCACAAAAAAUUAAUGAAUGAAAAAAAUUAUCAAGUAUGCGAUUGACCUUCAGACAGCUGCAGAUGUCUCAUCAGCUGUUCCUGUUGGCGAACCAGGUACAAAUGGGACAAAUCCCCGUCCGCCAAACACUGGCCUCAUGAAUCUGUCGUCAAAUUUUCUCCACAAGUAAUGAACAGUUAUUGUGGG
This 626-nucleotide long non-coding RNA is filed under the name Manihot esculenta (cassava). Its description in RNAcentral is "long non-coding RNA (MESC_LNC005702)". The record is from RNAcentral. Lineage: Eukaryota; Viridiplantae; Streptophyta; Magnoliopsida; Malpighiales; Euphorbiaceae.